This 66-nucleotide transfer RNA is filed under the name Chalcopteryx rutilans. RNAcentral's name for it is "tRNA-His". The record is from RNAcentral. Lineage: Eukaryota; Metazoa; Arthropoda; Insecta; Odonata; Polythoridae.
GCUUUGGGUAGUUUAUUAAAAAUAUUGAUUUGUGGUGUCAGAGAUGUGCUUUUUGUGCUCCAGGUU